UGCAGUCGACGAUGACCACUUCGGUGGGGAUUAGUGGCGAACGGGUGAGUAACACGUGGGCAAUCUGCCCUGCACUCUGGGACAAGCCCUGGAAACGGGGUCUAAUACCGGAUAAUACUCCUGCACUCAUGUGUGGGGGUUAAAAGCUCCGGCGGUGCAGGAUGAGCCCGCGGCCUAUCAGCUUGUUGGUGAGGUAAUGGCUCACCAAGGCGACGACGGGUAGCCGGCCUGAGAGGGCGACCGGCCACACUGGGACUGAGACACGGCCCAGACUCCUACGGGAGGCAGCAGUGGGGAAUAUUGCACAAUGGGCGAAAGCCUGAUGCAGCGACGCCGCGUGAGGGAUGACGGCCUUCGGGUUGUAAACCUCUUUCAGCAGGGAAGAAGCGCAAGUGACGGUACCUGCAGAAGAAGCGCCGGCUAACUACGUGCCAGCAGCCGCGGUAAUACGUAGGGCGCAAGCGUUGUCCGGAAUUAUUGGGCGUAAAGAGCUCGUAGGCGGCUUGUCACGUCGGGUGUGAAAGCCCGGGGCUUAACCCCGGGUCUGCAUUCGAUACGGGCUAGCUAGAGUGUGGUAGGGGAGAUCGGAAUUCCUGGUGUAGCGGUGAAAUGCGCAGAUAUCAGGAGGAACACCGGUGGCGAAGGCGGAUCUCUGGGCCAUUACUGACGCUGAGGAGCGAAAGCGUGGGGAGCGAACAGGAUUAGAUACCCUGGUAGUCCACGCCGUAAACGGUGGGAACUAGGUGUUGGCGACAUUCCACGUCGUCGGUGCC
This 773-nucleotide ribosomal RNA is filed under the name Streptomyces sp. RNAcentral's name for it is "bacterial SSU rRNA". It matches the Rfam family "Bacterial small subunit ribosomal RNA", at positions 56 to 847 of the family's 1533-position model. Lineage: Bacteria; Bacillati; Actinomycetota; Actinomycetes; Kitasatosporales; Streptomycetaceae. The record is from RNAcentral.